Molecule: ribosomal RNA, 468 nt
Filed under: uncultured bacterium
Lineage: Bacteria
Description: partial 16S ribosomal RNA
Rfam family: Bacterial small subunit ribosomal RNA
Source: RNAcentral
GACGAACGCUGGCGGCGUGCUUAACACAUGCAAGUCGAACGGACAGGCCCUGCUCUUGUGGGGUGCUCGUGAGGCGAACGGGUGAGUAACACGCGAGUAUCCUGCCCUUGACUUUGGGAUAACUUCAGGAAACUGGGGCUAAUACCGGAUAGGAGCUCCUGCUGCAUGGUGUGGGUUGGAAAGUUUCGGCGGUUGGGGAUGGACUCGCGGCUUAUCAGCUUGUUGGUGUGGUAGUGGCUUACCAAGGCUUUGACGGGUAGCCGGCCUGAGAGGGUGACCGGCCACAUUGGGACUGAGAUACGGCGCAGACUCCUAUGGGAGGCAGCAGUGGGGAAUAUUGCAGAAUGGGCGGAAGCCUGAUGCAGCAACGCCGGGAGCGUGAUAACGGCCUUCGGGUGGUAAACCGAUCUCGCCGGUGAUGAAGCGUGAGUGACGGUAAUGGGUAAAGAAGCACCGGCUAACUACGUG